Molecule: unclassified non-coding RNA, 203 nt
Filed under: Hevea brasiliensis (rubber tree)
Lineage: Eukaryota; Viridiplantae; Streptophyta; Magnoliopsida; Malpighiales; Euphorbiaceae
Source: RNAcentral
UUUUCGUGAAAUUCCCUCAGCCGGAAAGCCGACGGCAAUUUUCCGGCGAUAUCCUCAAUCCACGAUCAUUGGAAAUGGUAUCCCCAGAGAACACUAAUUGGCUGAUCGAGUGCGGCUUUAUCGACGAUAUCCCUGUUCCUGAUGCAAAUUUCUCUGUACCGGUUACCGGCUUUUCGUGGCCAGUGCAAAACCCAAAUGGUUCA